GAGUUUGAUCCUGGCUCAGAACGAACGCUGGCGGCGUGUCUUAAGCAUACAAGUUGAGCGGCAAGGGGUAGCAAUACCCCCUAGAGCGGCGGACUGGUGAGUAACGCAUGGGUGAUCUGCCCUUGGGAUGGGGAUAGCCACUAGAAAUAGUGGGUAAUACCGAAUACGUUCACACUUUCGGAGGUGUGAGGAAAAGCGCUUCGGCGCUGCCCGAGGAUGAGCCCGUGUCCCAUUAGCUAGUUGGUGAGGUAACGGCCCACCAAGGCGAUGAUGGGUAGGCGGCCUGAGAGGGUGUACGCCCACAUUGGGACUGAGAUACGGCCCAAACUCCUACGGGAGGCAGCAGCUAAGAAUAUUCCGCAAUGGACGAAAGUCUGACGGAGCGACGCCGCGUGGAUGAUGAAGGCCGAAAGGUUGUAAAGUCCUUUUGCUGGGGAAGAAUAACCAUGGGAGGGAAUGCCCGUGGGAUGACAUGAACCGGCGAAUAAGCCCCGGCUAACUACGUGCCAGCAGCCGCGGUAACACGUAGGGGGCGAGCGUUGUUCGGAAUUACUGGGCGUAAAGGGCAUGUAGGCGGCUUGGUAAGCCUGGCGUGAAAGUCACCGGCUCAACCGGUGGAUUGCGUUGGGUACUGCUGAGCUUGAAUCACGGAGAGGGAGCUAGAAUUCCAGGUGUAGGGGUGAAAUCUGUAGAGAUCUGGAAGAAUACCAGUGGCGAAGGCGAGCUCCUGGCCGAUGAUUGACGCUGAGGUGCGAAAGUGUGGGGAUCAAACAGGAUUAGAUACCCUGGUAGUCCACACUGUCAACGAUGUGCACUAGGUGCUGGGGCGGAUGCUUCAGUGCCGGAGCUAACGCGGUAAGUGCACCGCCUGGGGAGUAUGCUCGCAAGGGUGAAACUCAAAGGAAUUGACGGGGGCCCGCACAAGCGG
RNAcentral lists this ribosomal RNA (928 nucleotides) under uncultured bacterium. RNAcentral describes it as "bacterial SSU rRNA". It matches the Rfam family "Bacterial small subunit ribosomal RNA", at positions 9 to 932 of the family's 1533-position model. The record is from RNAcentral.